This 165-nucleotide ribosomal RNA is filed under the name uncultured bacterium. RNAcentral's name for it is "partial 16S rRNA". It matches the Rfam family "Bacterial small subunit ribosomal RNA", at positions 355 to 511 of the family's 1533-position model. The record is from RNAcentral.
UAGGGAAUCUUCCACAAUGGACGAAAGUACUGAUGGAGCAACGCCGCGUGAGUGAAGAAGGGUUUCGGCUCGUAAAACUCUGUUGUUAAAGAAGAACAUAUCUGAGAGUAACUGUUCAGGUAUUGACGGUAUUUAACCAGAAAGCCACGACUAACUACGUGCCAC